RNAcentral lists this ribosomal RNA (250 nucleotides) under uncultured bacterium. RNAcentral describes it as "partial 16S ribosomal RNA". It matches the Rfam family "Bacterial small subunit ribosomal RNA", at positions 524 to 773 of the family's 1533-position model. The record is from RNAcentral.
GACAGAGGGUGCAAACGUUGCUCGGAAUUACUGGGCGUAAAGCGCGUGUAGGCGGAUGCAUAAGUCGGGUGUGAAAUCCCUGGGCUCAACCUAGGAACUGCAUUCGAAACUGCGUAUCUGGAGUGAUGGAGAGGAGAGCGGAAUUCCCGGUGUAGAGGUGAAAUUCGUAGAUAUCGGGAGGAACACCAGUGGCGAAGGCGGCUCUCUGGACAUCAACUGACGCUGAGACGCGAAAGCGUGGGGAGCAAAC